GAGCCUGCCAAACAUUUCCCAUUCAGGA
RNAcentral lists this non-coding RNA (28 nucleotides) under Homo sapiens (human). The record is from RNAcentral. Lineage: Eukaryota; Metazoa; Chordata; Mammalia; Primates; Hominidae.